This 3302-nucleotide ribosomal RNA is filed under the name Gambierdiscus excentricus. RNAcentral's name for it is "eukaryotic LSU rRNA". It matches the Rfam family "Eukaryotic large subunit ribosomal RNA". Lineage: Eukaryota; Dinophyceae; Gonyaulacales; Pyrocystaceae. The record is from RNAcentral.
CCAUUGUGUGAAUGCAAGCACACAGACCUGCUGAAUUUAAGCAUAUAAGUAGGCAGAGGAAGUGACACAAAAGUGGACUCACACAGUAGUUGCGAACGAAGAGUGAAAGACUCAAUUCGAAAUGUGUGGGUUUCUGCCCAUGACAUGAAAUCUCCGAAUGUGUGACUAAGGGUGGUGCAGGUGUGAGCCAUCUUGCAAGAGGGGAGGGCGUGCAUCAACAAGGGUGAGAAUCCUGUGUGUUGCUUGCAGACUUCUGUGUACAGUGCCCAUUUUCAGAAUCAUGCUCUUUGGAACUGGAGUGCAAAGUGGGUGGUAGCUCCCACUCAAAGUCGAACAUGACAUUGGGACUGACAGGGGAGAAGUACCGUGAGGGAAGCGUGAAAAGGACUUUGGAAAGAGAUUUAAAAGAGCCUGCACUUGCUGAGUGCCAAGCACACAGGAUGGCAGAGGUGGGAGAGAUUGCUGCGUGCGUGUGCAAUUCUGGCUGUCACCAGACAGGAGCUUGCCAUGCAUGCUUGUGCUGCAUGUGGAGAUUCUUUUCUUGAGUGCCAGUAUGUAUGUAUGUAGUCGAUGCCUGUUGGCAUUGCUUGUGGUGUAUCCUGGGAUAUGUGAUUGUGUGUGCCUUGUCUGAACGUGCCGAAGGCUCUGUUGCACUGUGACCCAAGCUGUCAGCAUGCCUGUCUGUUUUCACUGUUGGGGAGUCCAUGACCAGUGUGUUUGCGGUGAGCUCCAUUCUGUGUGACCCGUCUUGAAACACGGACCAAGGAGUCUAGCAUAGUUGCAAGCUUGUGGGGGAGAGAACUCAGUGCACAAUGAAGGUGGAGUCCCAGAGUGGGCAUGAGUGUUCAACCAAGCAGCAGGAUGAGGUUUGAGCCUGAGUAUGCCCGCUAGGACCCGAAAGAUGGUGAACUAUGCCUGGGAAGGGCAAAGUCAGGGGAAACUCUGGUGGAGGCUCACAGCGCUACUGACGUGCAAAUCGUUCGUCACACCUGGGUAUAGGGGCGAAAGACUAAUCGAACCAUCUAGUAGCUGGUUCCCUCUGAAGUUUCCCACAGGAUAGCUGGAGUGACCAAGUUUCAUCAGGUAAAGCGAAUGAUUGGAGGAAUUGGGGGCUGUAUGCUUCUGACCUAUUCUCAAACUUUUAAUGGGUAUGCUGCAGUGGUUGCUUUUCUGAACCUGCAGCUAAUAUUAUGUUCAAGUGGGCCACUUUUGGUAAGCAGAACUGGCGAUGAGGGGUGAACCUGAUGAUUGGUUAAGGCACUGAAAUUCUUGCUCAUCAGAUACCAUGAAGGGUGUUGGCUCAUUUAGACAGCAGGACGGUGGUCAUGGAAGUCGAAACCCGCUUGGGAGUGUGUAACAACUCACCUGCCGAAUGGACUGGCCCCGAAAAUGGAUGGUGCUUCAGCGGGUGGCUGAUACGAACUGGUGAUCUUGUUGUUUGAGUCAGUGUGUAGGGGGGUGUGGGUGUUUGUGAAGAAAUGUGUGGUGUGAGCCUGUUUGGAGCAGUUCCUGGUGCAGAUCUUGGUGGUAGUAGUGGCUAUUCUAGUGAGACCUUCGAAGACUGAAGUGGAGAAGGGUCUCAUGUGAACAGCAUUUGGACAUGGGUUAGCCGAACCUGAUGGAGAUAGGUGCUGUCAACGAGGCUUGGCCUCGUCCUUGACAGAGAGUGGGGCUAACAUUCCCCAGCCAGGACGUGGAUAGUGCAUGGCAACGUGAGCCAACUUGGUGAUGCAGAGGGAGGCCUUUGGAAGCGUUGUCUGUUCUUUUUGAUGGUCAAGUGCCCUGGAAACAGAUUGCCUGGCGAUGGGGAUUGUUGAUGAGUAAAGCGUCUUGUUUGCUGAGGUGUUCAGUGUGCUUCCAAAUGUCCUUGAAAAGCCAGAGGAAGGACUUAUUCACCCCCCUGGCCGUACCCAUAACCGCAUCAGGUCUCCUAGGUCAGCUGCCUCUGGUCUGUGGAGUGAACUAGGUGAGGGAAGUCGGCAAACCAGAUCCGGAACUUUGGGAAAAGGAUUGGCUCGGAGGGGUGGGUGUGGGGAUCCUUGUGCUGAUGCUUGAACCAAGCAGAAGGUGCUCAACGCCACUGGUGGAGAGUGGAUUUGUGCACGGUGAGAACUGCUGCACAAGGAGUGUUCGAUUGGACUCCUUUUCACACAAUGAACAACCAGCUUAGAACUGAUGCGGGCAAGGGGAAUCCGACUGUUUAAUUGAAACAAAGUAUUGCGAUGCCCUGAAAGGAUGUUGACACAAUGUGAUUUCUGCCCAGUGCUCUGAAUGUCAAAGUGAGGAGAUUCAACUAAGCGCGGGUAAACGGCGGGAGUAACUAUGACUCUCUUAAGGUAGCCAAAUGCCUCGUCAUCCAAUUAGUGACGCGCAUGAAUGGAUUAAUGAGAUUCCUACUGUCCCAAUCUACUGUCCAGCGAAGCCACAGCCAAGGGAACGGGCUUGGGUGAGUCAGCGGGGAAAGAAGACCCUGUUGAGCUUGACUCUAAUCCGACUUUGUGAAAUGACUUAGGAGGAGUAGGAUAUGUGGGAGCUCAGGUGAUCUUGAAAUACCACUACUUUUAAUGUCACUUUACUUACUCUAUCCAACUGUGCCCUGCCUCACAGCAGGUUUUUGCUUUCAAGGUUGCUCUUUUGGCGUGUUGAUUUGCGUAGAAGACGUCGUCCGGUGGGGAGUUUGGCUGGGGCGGCACAUCUGUAAAAGGAUAACGCAGGUGUCCUAAGGUGAGCUCAAUGAGAACAGAAAUCUCAUGCGGAUCAAAAGGGGAAACGCUUGCUUGAUUUUGCUUUUCAGUGUGAAGAUAAACUGUGCAAACAUGGCCUAUUGAUCCUUUAGGGCUGAAGGAGGUUCAAAUAGAGGUGUCAGAAAAGUUACCACAGGGAUAACUGGCUUGUGGCAGCCAAGCGUUCACAGCGACGUUGCUUUUUGAUCCUUCGAUGUCGGCUCUUCCUAUCAUUGAGAUGCAGAAGUCCCAAAGUGUCGGAUUGUUCACCCGCCAAUAGGGAACGUGAGCUGGGUUUAGACCGUCGUGAGACAGGUUAGUUUUACCCUACUGAUCAAUUGACAUUGCAACUGCAAUCGAAGUCAGUACGAGAGGAACACUUCGUUUGGAUAUUUGGCAAAUGUGGUUAGUUGAGAGGCUAGUGCCCCCAAGCUACCGUCUGCUGGAUCAUGACUGAACGCCUCUAAAUUGGAAUCCGUGUUGGUGAACUGAUGUUUCUUACCAGCUUCAACUGUUUGAGCCUUGGUAAAUGCAAGAUGUGGCAGUUUGUUCGUCAGUGUGGGUUUUUCCUUUUCUUGU